RNAcentral lists this ribosomal RNA (323 nucleotides) under Coccidioides immitis. RNAcentral's name for it is "LSU rRNA". It matches the Rfam family "Eukaryotic large subunit ribosomal RNA", at positions 331 to 670 of the family's 3401-position model. The record is from RNAcentral. Lineage: Eukaryota; Fungi; Ascomycota; Eurotiomycetes; Onygenales; Onygenaceae.
AGACCGAUAGCGAACAAGUAGAGUGAUCGAAAGGUUAAAAGCACCUUGAAAAGGGAGUUAAAUAGCACGUGAAAUUGUUGAAAGGGAAGCGCUUGCAACCAGACUCGGUCGUGGGGGCUCAGCGGGCAUGCGUGCCCGUGUACUCCCCCAUGCUCCGGGCCAGCAUCAGUUCUGGCGGUUGGUUAAAGGCCUCUGGAACGUAUCGUCCUCCGGGACGUCUUAUAGCCAGGGGCGCAAUGCGGCCAGCCGGGACUGAGGAACGCGCUUCGGCACGGAUGCUGGCAUAAUGGUUGUAAGCGGCCCGUCUUGAAACACGGACCAAG